RNAcentral lists this ribosomal RNA (427 nucleotides) under uncultured bacterium. RNAcentral's name for it is "partial 16S ribosomal RNA". It matches the Rfam family "Bacterial small subunit ribosomal RNA", at positions 355 to 774 of the family's 1533-position model. The record is from RNAcentral.
UGGGGAAUAUUGCACAAUGGGCGCAAGCCUGAUGCAGCCAUGCCGCGUGUAUGAAGAAGGCCUUCGGGUUGUAAAGUACUUUCAGCGGGGAGGAAGGUGUUGAGGUUAAUAACCUCAGCAAUUGACGUUACCCGCAGAAGAAGCACCGGCUAACUCCGUGCCAGCAGCCGCGGUAAUACGGAGGGUGCAAGCGUUAAUCGGAAUUACUGGGCGUAAAGCGCACGCAGGCGGUCUGUGAAGUCGGAUGUGAAAUCCCCGGGCUCAAACUGGGAACUGCAUUCGAAACUGGCAGGCUAGAGUCUUGUAGAGGGGGGUAGAAUUCCAGGUGUAGCGGUGAAAUGCGUAGAGAUCUGGAGGAAUACCGGUGGCGAAGGCGGCCCCCUGGACAAAGACUGACGCUCAGGUGCGAAAGCGUGGGGAGCAAACA